CCUACGGGAGGCAGCAGUGAGGAAUAUUGGUCAAUGGCCGGAAGGCUGAACCAGCCAUGCCGCGUGAAGGUCAGUGCCCUAUGGGCGUUAAACUUCUUUUGUGCGGGAGCAAUAAUGGUCACGUGUGGCCAGACGAGAGUACCGUACGAAUAAGCAUCGGCUAACUCCGUGCCAGCAGCCGCGGUAAUACGGGGGAUGCAAGCGUUAUCCGGAUUUAUUGGGGUGAAAGGGUUCGUAGGCUGUGAGGUAAGUCAGCGGUGAAAUGCCCCCGCUCGACGGGGUGAAGUGCCAUUGAUACUGCCUUGCUGGAAUGCGGAUGCCGUGGGAGGAAUGUGUGGUGUAGCGGUGAAAUGCAUAGAUAUCACACAGAACACCGAUUGCGAAGGCAUCUCACGAAUCCGCGAUUGACGCUGAUGCACGAAAGCGUGGGUAUCAAACAGGAUUAGAUACCCGGGUAGUC
This 460-nucleotide ribosomal RNA is filed under the name uncultured bacterium. RNAcentral's name for it is "partial 16S ribosomal RNA". It matches the Rfam family "Bacterial small subunit ribosomal RNA", at positions 338 to 795 of the family's 1533-position model. The record is from RNAcentral.